This 497-nucleotide ribosomal RNA is filed under the name uncultured bacterium. RNAcentral's name for it is "partial 16S ribosomal RNA". It matches the Rfam family "Bacterial small subunit ribosomal RNA", at positions 28 to 507 of the family's 1533-position model. The record is from RNAcentral.
GACGAACGCUGGCGGCGUGCCUAAUACAUGCAAGUAGAACGCUGAAGCGAGGAGCUUGCUCUUCUUGGAUGAGUUGCGAACGGGUGAGUAACGCGUAGGUAACCUGCCUGGUAGCGGGGGAUAACUAUUGGAAACGAUAGCUAAUACCGCAUAAAAUGGAUUAUCGCAUGAUAAUCCAUUGAAAGGUGCAAAUGCAUCACUACCAGAUGGACCUGCGUUGUAUUAGCUAGUUGGUGGGGUAACAGCUCACCAAGGCGACGAUACAUAGCCGACCUGAGAGGGUGAUCAGCCGCCCUGGGAGUGAGACACGGCCCAGACUCCUACGGGUGGCAGCAGGAGGGAAUCGUCGGGAAUGGGUGGAAGUCUGAGCGAGAAACGCCGCGUGAGUGAAGAAGGUUGUCGGAUCGUGAAGCUCGGUUGUCGGGGAAGAACGAGUGUGAGAGUGGAACGUUCACACUGUGACGGUAUCUGAUCAGAAAGCGACGGCUAACUACGUG